AGGCCUGAGUGACUCUUGGGACAGAAGGCAAUUCAGCUUAGACAUCUAAUGUUGAUACUACUAGCAUAAGGCCCAAAGAAAGGCCACAAAAAUGGUGAAAGGCCUAGAGAGGAAGCCACAUAAGCAGAAGCUGAGGUGACUUGGUCUGUUCAGCCUGGAGAAGAGGAGUCUGAGCUGACAAGAUGCCAUAGGAUCCAGCAACAACAACAUAUGUGGCAAUCUUCAGGCAUUCUGAGUGGAAGGCACUUAGCACAGGAGUAUAACUCAAAGUAACUAUACACUUAUUUCUGGAAGUAUUUUGACAUUUGCAGCCAACUGCAGUCUAAUAGACUGAGCUAACAGAAACAGAACUGUUCUUUUGCAUAUGGUAAGGACUCAUUGUUUAGAAGCAAUCUGGUGCCUAUAAUGCAAUUUUGUGACAGCUCUACACAACGUUAACACCAGAUAGUGUUUGGAUGGUAGGAGCAAGCCGUGUACUCACUCGUGC
Long non-coding RNA from Haemorhous mexicanus (house finch), 487 nucleotides. RefSeq lists it as uncharacterized. Lineage: Eukaryota; Metazoa; Chordata; Aves; Passeriformes; Fringillidae. The transcript has 3 exons. The record is from RefSeq and is a predicted model, not a curated record.